AUUGAACGCUGGCGGCAGGCUUAACACAUGCAAGUCGAGCGGGGGAAGGUAGCUUGCUACUGGACCUAGCGGCGGACGGGUGAGUAAUGCUUAGGAAUCUGCCUAUUAGUGGGGGACAACAUCUCGAAAGGGAUGCUAAUACCGCAUACGUCCUACGGGAGAAAGCAGGGGAUCUUCGGACCUUGCGCUAAUAGAUGAGCCUAAGUCGGAUUAGCGAGUUGGUGGGGUAAAGGCCUACCAAGGCGACGAUCUGUAGCGGGUCUGAGAGGAUGAGCCGCCACACUGGGACUGAGACACGGCCCAGACUCCUACGGGAGGCAGAAGUGGGGAAUAUUGGACAAUGGGUGGAACCCUGAUCCAGCCAUGCCGCGUGUGUGAAGAAGGCCUUAUGGUUGUAAAGCACUUUAAGCGAGGAGGAGGCUACUUUAGUUAAUACCUAGAGAUAGUGGACGUUACUCGCAGAAUAAGCACCGGCUAACUCUGUGCCAGCCGCCGCAGUAA
RNAcentral lists this ribosomal RNA (501 nucleotides) under uncultured bacterium. RNAcentral describes it as "partial 16S ribosomal RNA". It matches the Rfam family "Bacterial small subunit ribosomal RNA", at positions 30 to 523 of the family's 1533-position model. The record is from RNAcentral.